This is a non-coding RNA of Globicephala melas (long-finned pilot whale), 73 nucleotides long. The record is from the annotation of a RefSeq genome assembly. Lineage: Eukaryota; Metazoa; Chordata; Mammalia; Artiodactyla; Delphinidae.
UCCCUGGUGGUCCAGUGGUUAGGACUCCACGCUUCCAAUGCAAGGUGGGCAGGUUCAAUCCCUGCUCAGGGAA